UCGUGCUAGACGGGGAGCUAGCGGUGCCCUGUACCCGCAAUCCGCUUUAGCGGGGUUGAAUUCCCUCGUGAGGUCCGACCCUGUAGGACUGCUGCGGUGGAACGGUGUUGAGAGUUGGGUCCCAUGCGUCAGAAGUCUGCGAACCCCGCCAGGACCGGAAGGUAGCAACGGUAAGGAGUCCCUUCUGAGCGACGUGGGAGCGCCUGGCUGGAGCCGCGAAUCUGCGGCAAGCUGGAGAGUCGCUGAUCGAAUCGGGGGUGCACGA
This 265-nucleotide signal recognition particle RNA is filed under the name Chloroflexota bacterium. Its description in RNAcentral is "signal recognition particle sRNA large type". It matches the Rfam family "Bacterial large signal recognition particle RNA". Rfam says of the family: The signal recognition particle (SRP) is a universally conserved ribonucleoprotein involved in the co-translational targeting of proteins to membranes. Archaeal SRP consists of a 7S RNA and homologues of the eukaryotic SRP19 and SRP54 proteins. Lineage: Bacteria; Bacillati; Chloroflexota. The record is from RNAcentral.